ACGAACGCUGGCGGCGUGCUUAACACAUGCAAGUCGAACGGAAAGGCCCUGCUUUUGUGGGGUGCUCGAGUGGCGAACGGGUGAGUAACACGUGAGUAACCUGCCCUUGACUUUGGGAUAACUUCAGGAAACUGGGGCUAAUACCGGAUAGGAGCUCCUGCUGCAUGGUGGGGUUUGGAAAGUUUCGGCGGUUGGGGAUGGACUCGCGGCUUAUCAGCUUGUUGGUGGGGUAGUGGCUUACCAAGGCUUUGACGGGUAGCCGGCCUGAGAGGGUGACCGGCCACAUUGGGACUGAGAUACGGCCCAGACUCCUACGGGGGGCAGCAGUGGGGAAUAUUGCACAAUGGGCGGAAGCCUGAUGCAGAAACGCCGCGUGCGGGAUGACGGCCUUCGGGUUGUAAACCGCUUUCGCCUGUGACGAAGCGUGAGUGACGGUAAUGGGUAAAGAAGCACCGGCUAACUACGUG
RNAcentral lists this ribosomal RNA (467 nucleotides) under uncultured bacterium. Its description in RNAcentral is "partial 16S ribosomal RNA". It matches the Rfam family "Bacterial small subunit ribosomal RNA", at positions 29 to 507 of the family's 1533-position model. The record is from RNAcentral.